AAAAAAAAAAAAAAAAAAUAAAUUAAUAUAUAUAGAGAGAGAGAGAGAAAGAGUAGAGUAGAAUUUUCGGAUUCGGCAAAAAUUUGUUACGGAUAUAAUUCGAAUAAAAUUCGUCUUUUAAUUUUUAAAUUCGUUGAAAAAUACGGCUAAAAAACGAAUUUUCCAAUUAUUCGGAUACGUGAUUUAUACGAAUAUUAUACGUUCAUCAAUUAAAAAUUCGGGAUAAAAAAUUCGGCUAUUAAAUUAAGUUUUUUUUUUCUCUCAAAAUUUCUGCUAUUAGCAUAAAUACUCAUAUUUCUUAAGAAUAUAAUAAUAAAGAGCUACAAAAUUAAGUUAAUUAAGUAAAAAAAAUAACAAACUAUAUUAUGUCUCAAAAUAAAUAAAUAAUUAAGUAAAUAAGAGAUUAAAAUACUUCAUAAGAGAUUAAAGCGAGAGUUUUUUUUUUUUUUUUUUUUCAGUGUUGGGCAAGGUUUGAAAAGUUUUUUUUUUUUUUUCCCUAUUUUGGGCGAGGUUUGGAAAGUUUUUUUUUUUUUUUUUUGCUGUGUUUUGGGUGCGCCAGGAGGCCCGCGAGCGCGAGCGUGAGGCCGCGAGCGCGAGGGAGCGCAGGGAGCCGCGAGCGCGAGUGCUGACUUUUUGGCCGAAUAAUUCGCGACUCGCAAAUUAUUCACGAAUAAGUAUUUUUGACCGAAAAUACACGUUUUUUAUCUGAAUUUUUCGGAAAAGUACGAAUUCGGCCGUUUAAUUCGUUUUCUUAAAAAUUCGCAAAUAAUUUGCGAAUUAACUAACAUAGAGUAGAACUAUUAUAUUUUUCCAAGUAUAAAAGAGUUCGUGGUUUCAACUUUUUGACUCCUAGAUCAACAAUUUUAAUUAUUUCUGAUAUUAGGAUUAAUAUUAUUAUCCCAAAGGGACCACUCAACCCUAAGGGGGACAACUAUCAUCUGGAUCCUACAAUCUUUGAUCUAAGGGCCAAAAACUUGAAAACAUUAACUCCCUUGUACUUUUUUAAUAGUAUAGUAGCUCUACUAUAUAUAUAUAUAUAUAUAUAUAUAUAUAGAGAGAGAGAGAGAGAGAGAGAGAGAGAGAGAGAGAGAGAGUCCGGCUGGUAUACUAGCGGUAGCACAGAAGCCUCCGUGCUACCAAGUUGUUUUCAAUGAUAUAGUUUUUAAAUUUACGAACGGCUCUAUUAGACUUGAUCUAUAAUAUUGAAAAUAUUUGGAAACCAAAUUUCAUAAUUUUUAGAUAUCAUUAACCUAUAAAAUGAGUUGUCUAAAAAUGAACGACAAAAAAAUAAAAAUCUCAUAAAAAUGAUGAUAAAAGAUUGAAUUUAAGAUCAUAGAUACUGAUCUUAUUCUAAAUAGUAAAAAAAAUUUCUAUAAAAAUUUCACCAGAUUUAGAUUGUUUUAUGCUGUUAAAUUCGAAAACGCAUUACAUCAACCAUUAAAAUUGUCAAUUUUGAGACUUUUUAAUUACUAGCCAAAUAAUAUCAAAAAAUUAUAAAAUUUAGUUUCCAAACACUUUUAAUAGUAUAGAUCAAAUCUAACGAAACCGAUUAUCAAUUUGGAAAUCACAUCAUUGAAAACAACUUGGUAGCACGGAGUGCUCCGUGUUACCGAUAGUACACCAGGCAAGCUCUCGUGUGUGUAAAACAACUUGAUAGCACGGAGUGCUCCGUGUUACCGAUAGUAUACAUGGCAAGCUCUCGUGUGUGUGUGUAGUUCGGCUAUGGUGCUUGUAAAAGCACCAAGCACUUGGUAUUUGUAAAUAUUUUACCGUUAGAUCUACUUUUUUGAUCAUUUUCAUCUGUUAGAUUAUACUAUUCAACCAACCACCCACUAAACCCUAGGACUUCGUUUGGUUCGGGGUUAAAUAAUAACUAGUUAUUCUAGAGAUAGGAUUAAGUUCAGGGUUAAGAUGGGGUUAGAGUAAUUUUGUGUUUGGUUGAGAAUUGAGUUUACUCCAGGUAUAAGCAAAAUAGUGUUUGGUUGGAGUAAGUGGAAUAAGAAGGACAGUGAAUAGAUAUAAAUAGAAAAUAAUGAUAUUGCCCCAAUUUUAUAUUUGAAUUUAAAUUUUUUAUUUUAUAUUUAAAAGUUCAAAUUUAAAUAGAUAAUUUUUAAAAUUAAAAAAUUAAAAAUUAAAAUCUAUAUUUUUAAAUCUCAAAUUUAAAAUUUUAAACAAUAAAUAUUAAUAUAAAUAUUGCAAAUUAUACAUUUUUAAAAUUUCAAAUAUAAAAUGUCAAAUUCAAAAUGUAAACAAUUAAAAAUAAAAUUUAAAAAUUAAAAAUAUUAAUAUUAAUUUUAAGAUUACAAAUUAUAAAUUUUUAAAAAUUAAAAAUUAAAAAUAAAAUUAAUAAAUUUAUAUUUAAAAAUUAAAUUGUGGUGGGAUUAACUUAAUUCCACCACAAUUCAAAGGGGGGUUGGGGUUUGUUAACCCCACCCUUAACGGGAUAACGGUUAGACCGUUAGACCGUUAUCCCGUUAAGGAUGUGGUUAACAAAUCCCACACCAAAAAGUUUCCCUUUGGGGAUAACCCCUCUUUUAUCUCUGAACCAAACACUAGUUAGGGGGCCAAUAUCAUCCUAACCGCACAUCUCUUAAUCAAAUGGCCAAAAAUCUAGAAGCACCAAGCACACUAGGAUUGAGUGCUGUUCCCACUGAAUUAUAAUAUUUAAUCUAAUGGUUAAAAAUUAUCAAAGAAAUUGAUCGAAAGAUUAAAAACAUAAUAGAAAAAAGGGGCAAAUACUUUUAAUAUUAUUCUAUCCCAACUCAUUAUAUAUAUAUAUAUAUAUAUAUAUAUAGAGAGAGAGAGAGAGAGAGAGAGAGAGAGAGUAGGGCUAGAAUACUUUUACAAGUAUCACCCAAGUGAUACUUGUGUGUUUUUAACCAUUGGAUCUACUUUUUGAUUACUAAUAGUCUUUAUAUCAAACACUAUUCCACCUACUACCACCUACCACCAUCAUCUCAACCUCACAUCUCUCCAUCCAAGGGCUAAAAACACACAAGUAUCAUUUAGGUGAUACUUUUACAAGUAUUCUAGCUCUACUCUAUAUAUAUAUAUAUAUAUAUAAAAGAAAUUGUUGAACACCAAC
This 3085-nucleotide long non-coding RNA is filed under the name Ananas comosus (pineapple). RNAcentral's name for it is "long non-coding RNA (ACOM_LNC008953)". The record is from RNAcentral. Lineage: Eukaryota; Viridiplantae; Streptophyta; Magnoliopsida; Poales; Bromeliaceae.